RNAcentral lists this ribosomal RNA (468 nucleotides) under uncultured bacterium. Its description in RNAcentral is "partial 16S ribosomal RNA". It matches the Rfam family "Bacterial small subunit ribosomal RNA", at positions 28 to 507 of the family's 1533-position model. The record is from RNAcentral.
GACGAACGCUGGCGGCGUGCUUAACACAUGCAAGUCGAACGGACAGGCCCUGCUUUUGUGGGGUGCUCGAGUGGCGAACGGGUGAGUAACACGUGAGUAACCUGCCCUUGACUUUCGGAUAACUUCAGGAAACUGGGGCUAAUACCGGAUAGAAGCUCCUGCUGCAUGGUGGUGGUUGGAAAGUUUCGGCGGUUGGGGAUGGACUCGCGGCUUAUCAGCUUGUUGGUGGGGUAGUGGCUUACCAAGGCUUUGACGGGUAGCCGGCCUGAGAGGGUGACCGGCCACAUUGGGACUGAGAUACGGCCCAGACUCCUACGGGAGGCAGCAGUGGGGAAUAUUGCACAAUGGGCGGAAGCCUGAUGCAGCAACGCCGCGUGCGGGAUGACGGCCUUCGGGUUGUAAACCGCUUUCGCCUGUGACGAAGCGUGAGUGACGGUAAUGGGUAAAGAAGCACCGGCUAACUACGUG